Molecule: transfer RNA, 91 nt
Filed under: Dictyobacter halimunensis
Lineage: Bacteria; Bacillati; Chloroflexota; Ktedonobacteria; Ktedonobacterales; Dictyobacteraceae
Description: Dictyobacter sp. S3.2.2.5 tRNA-Glu
Source: RNAcentral
UGGCCUGCUCGAUUAAGGCUGGAUCGGCGCCGAUCUCGCCGGCGGCGUCGUUCUUGUUGAAGCGCUGGUCGUUCAGGCGGAUGAGGCUGAC